This is an RNA transcript of Salvia miltiorrhiza (redroot sage), 1864 nucleotides long. It is a transcript of the gene named phosphatase IMPL1, chloroplastic, with no coding region annotated. Lineage: Eukaryota; Viridiplantae; Streptophyta; Magnoliopsida; Lamiales; Lamiaceae. The transcript is spliced from 11 exons. The record is from RefSeq and is a predicted model, not a curated record.
UAACCCUUGGCAGAUUUCUUUUUGCAAACAUUUCUCUCUCUACCGGAAAAGGAAAAAGAAAACAGAAAAAAACGGAAGUAAAUCCUCAAUCUUUCCGAAGUAUGGGACGGUGCAUAAUUGCUUCAUCAUCCACACUCAAUCUCACCCGAUUAUCUCGUAAACCCAUUUCAAUUCUUCCUUCCGAACUGCCGACCUUCUCGUUUGCUAGGAGCUCGACUGCAAAUCCGCGGCCUCUGAAACAUGAAUUUUAUCCAACACUGCCCUCUGCUUUCAGCUGUAGAAGGGGACUGUGCACGAAAGCUGUUUUAUCAGACGUUUCUGAGGAAAAACAGUAUUUCAAAGUCGGAGCGGAAUCGACGGGUCCCAUUCCUUCUGAUCGGCUUCUCGCUGUGAUUGAAAUUGCCGCCAAAACUGGCGCUCAGGUGAUAAUGGACGCAGUGAAUAAGCCUCGAAAUAUAACAUACAAGGGAUUGACUGAUCUGGUGACUGACACGGAUAAAAUGAGUGAGGCUGCUAUUCUGGAUGUGGUAAAGAAGAAUUUCCAAGACCACCUCAUUCUGGGGGAGGAAGGAGGGAUCAUUGGGAAUUCAUCUUCUGAUUAUCUUUGGUGUAUAGAUCCCCUAGAUGGUACCACAAAUUUUGCUCAUUGCUACCCCAGCUUUGCGGUUUCCAUUGGUGUACUUUACAAAGGAAAGCCAGCUGCUGCCUCUGUGGUAGAGUUUGUUGGUGGACCUAAGUGUUGGAAUACUCGGACUUUUACUGCAGCUGCUGGUAAAGGUGCAUUCUGCAACGGAGAGAAAAUUCAUGUGAGCCAAACUGAUAAGGUUGAGAGAUCACUUUUGGUUACUGGGUUUGGAUAUGAACAUAAUGAUCCAUGGGCAACCAAUAUGGAACUAUUCAAGGAAUUCACUGACAUUAGUCGGGGUGUGAGGAGGCUUGGUGCAGCAGCAGUUGACAUGUCUCACGUAGCCCUGGGAAUUGUAGAAGCCUACUGGGAGUAUCGUCUUAAACCAUGGGAUAUGGCCGCUGGUGUUUUGAUAGUUGAAGAGGCCGGGGGAACAGUUUCAUGCAUGGAUGGUGGAAAAUUUUCUGUAUUUGACAGAUCCGUCUUGGUAUCCAAUGGAGUGCUUCAUUCUAAGCUUGCAGUAGGAGUCAGACACGUUGAGGUCAGAUUGAUUGUUACAGAUGUGUUGCUGUAGGCCUCUGCAGAGGAGUUCCAUAGUAUCAUUCUGUUCUAGUUUAUCUUUCAAUAUUAGUGUUCUUGUUUGUUUUCUGUGUUAUCUCCACCUUAACUCUAUCAGAAUUCCUUUUACACGAUUGGUUGCAGCUUCUUGAGCGAAUUGGACCAGCAACAGAGAAAUUGAAGGACAAAGGCAUCGAUUUUUCACUAUGGUACAAGCCUGAAAAUUAUCACACAGAAAUUUGAGAGGCCUAUUUGAUGGCUUUGCACCAGGCUUCCUGUGGAGAUCAGGUGCAAGCAUCCAUUAUUGAAAUAAUGAUUUUAAUAAUUUGAUCGAGUUCUACCAUCCAAUCACUUCAAAGUUGAUUCUAGUCAUUACCUUGAUUCUUUCAGCAAGGGCCAGUGCCAGAACCUUUGAUCUUCCGCCCAAGUUAUCGAAAGACUUUGUGCAAAAAUCAUGAAGCAGUUGCAGUUUGACUGCUUAUCAACCCAGUACUUCUGCAGAAUCGAAGUAUUCUAUUAGAAACAGAAUAAGAGGUAUUCGUAGCAUGGUACGACCAAUGUUUUCCCUUUUCUUUCUUUCAAUUCUCAAACGAUAAUAUCUUCAAUACUCAAAUGUGUAAUUGAUUUGCAAUGAAGUUUAAACUGAAUAAAUACUUUACUGUUAACAAAACUAAAGAAAAA